AAAUUUAAUUUUUUAAAUAUAAAUAAUCAUUUAAAAUAAAAUACGAUAAAUAAAGAUAAAAAGUUUAAGUCUUUUAUAAAAUAAAACACAAAUAUAUGAAAAUAUGACAUUUACUAAAUAUUUGUCAAUUGAAAAAAAAAAAUAAACCCGCGCUUUGAAAGCGCGGAUCAAAAUCUAGUCUAUACUAUUAAAGCAAAAUACCUAAUAGAAUUUUCC
RNAcentral lists this long non-coding RNA (216 nucleotides) under Brassica rapa (field mustard). RNAcentral's name for it is "long non-coding RNA (BRAP_LNC004775)". The record is from RNAcentral. Lineage: Eukaryota; Viridiplantae; Streptophyta; Magnoliopsida; Brassicales; Brassicaceae.